RNAcentral lists this ribosomal RNA (488 nucleotides) under uncultured bacterium. RNAcentral's name for it is "bacterial SSU rRNA". It matches the Rfam family "Bacterial small subunit ribosomal RNA", at positions 30 to 507 of the family's 1533-position model. The record is from RNAcentral.
CGAACGUUGGCGGCGUGGUUCAGGCAUGCAAGUCGAACGAGCACCUUCGGGUGCGAGUGGCGGACGGGUGAGUAAUGCAUGGACAACCUGCCCUUGAGAUGGGGACAACUUUCCGAAAGGGGAGCUAAUACCCAAUAACGUCGACGGCCACAAGGUCGUUGACCAAAGAUUGCCUCUGACUCAAGCUUUCGCUCAAGGAGGGGUUUAUGUCCUAUUAGCUUGUUGGUGAGGUAACGGCUCACCAAGGCUGCGAUGGGUAGCCGACCUGAGAGGGUGAGCGGCCACACUGGGACUGAGACACUGCCCAGACUCCUACGGGAGGCUGCAGUCGAGAAUCUUCCGCAAUGCGCGCAAGCGUGACGGAGCGACGCCGCGUGGGCGAUGAAGGCCUUCGGGUUGUAAAGCCCUGUUUCCCGCUAAGAACCACAGGCGGUGAAUAGCUGUCCUGUGUGACGUCAGCGGGGGAGGAAGCACCGGCUAAAUACGUG